UUUUCACGUUCAAAUCUCUCUCUCUCUCUCUCUCUCUCUCUCUCUCCCCAUCUCCAUCUUCGCGCUACUCAUCUCACUCUCAUUCCGACUCUGCUACUCAUCUCACUCUCAUCCCAACUCCUCCACCGGCAAGAGCUCGAAUCUGCAGAGCAUCAAUGUCGAAGCACACUAUAAUAUAAGGAACCAGGGAUUCUAGAGAGCUCGAAUUUGCUGAGCAAGUUGUUGCCCUCGUAAACCCUAACAUUGGUCGACGACCCUAUGUGAUCUCCAAAUUCGCUCUUAAUUUCCAAAUUCGACUCCCUCAAAUGUGUCUUGCCUAAAUGAGGAUGGUCCAGAAGCUUGGCAUAUCCAGUUUUUUCGUUCAAUUGAUUCCAAUUCUGUGAAGGGGUUUCCAAAAGUCCCAAAAGAUGCCACAAGCAGGGACCUGGUAUGUGGGAAGAAUGUACUGAUAGACAUGAGUAUACAUACUGCAUAUGUAAAGGCAAUCUGUGCUGCCCAACAUUUCAUUUACAUUGAGAACCAGUACUUCAUUGGGUCAUCAUACAAUUGGACUAACCACAGAGACUUGGGUGAGGAAUUGACAUUCAGGAUAAACUGAAAGGGAAAAAAUAAGGAUAUGUUGUUACUAUCACAUAUUAAAAGUAGUAAUGUGAAAAUUAUAUAUAGGUAUCCGAGUAUACAGUAACUCAUAUAUUAUCAUUUGUUGUGGAAAUUAUGCACUAUCAGC
Molecule: non-coding RNA, 727 nt
Organism: Camellia sinensis
Lineage: Eukaryota; Viridiplantae; Streptophyta; Magnoliopsida; Ericales; Theaceae
Source: RefSeq, a predicted model, not a curated record